RNAcentral lists this ribosomal RNA (550 nucleotides) under uncultured bacterium. RNAcentral's name for it is "partial 16S ribosomal RNA". It matches the Rfam family "Bacterial small subunit ribosomal RNA", at positions 355 to 895 of the family's 1533-position model. The record is from RNAcentral.
UGGGGAAUAUUGCACAAUGGGCGAAAGCCUGAUGCAGCAACGCCGCGUGAGUGAUGAAGGCCUUCGGGUUGUAAAGCACUUUUGUCCGGAAAGAAAUCCUUGGCUCUAAUACAGUCGGGGGAUGACGGUACCGGAAGAAUAAGCACCGGCUAACUACGUGCCAGCAGCCGCGGUAAUACGUAGGGUGCAAGCGUUAAUCGGAAUUACUGGGCGUAAANCGUGCGCAGGCGGUUUUGCUAAGACCGAUGUGAAAUCCCCGGGCUCAACCUGGGGAACUGCAUUGGUGACUGGCAGGCUAGAGUAUGGCAGAGGGGGGUAGAAUUCCACGUGUAGCAGUGAAAUGCGUAGAGAUGUGGAGGAAUACCGAUGGCGAAGGCAGCCCCCUGGGCCAAUACUGACGCUCAUGCACGAAAGCGUGGGGAGCAAACAGGAUUAGAUACCCCUGGUAGUCCACGCCCUAAACGAUGUCAACUAGUUGUUGGGGAUUCAUUUCCUUAGUAACGUAGCUAACGCGUGAAGUUGACCGCCUGGGGAGUACGGUCGCAAGAUU